CGACAAGCUGCUGCAUCUGAUGUCAUCCGUUUACGCAUGACAAGCUGCCUGUGAGGAGUAUUCAAGAUGGCGGAUCGGUCUCAUUUCAUGUGGUGCUAUAAGACGAUGGACUGGAAGUGCAGGGUGUGCAGAAUAUUCUCAUUCCCAAGUCCACCUCCUCAGACACUACAGAGUGAAACACAGACACUGCUCUAAAAACAAAUCCACUGCCUUGGGAGGAUAAAGUACCACUUGAAAUAGUACGAGGAGGAAUUGCUCUAAAGGUGUAGAAGAGGAAAAUCAACUGUAGUCUCAUCUGCAAGAGAAAUGUUGCUCCAAAAUGAACACCAGCCCAUCAGUAAAAGUGUUUCUGGAUCUCUGGCCUUUACUGCGUUUAACAUCUGAGAGUUCCAACAAAUCAGAACUUGUCCCACAAAUUUUACGCACAACUGGACCACCACCUACCUCUUUUGAUGACACUUUUUAAAUAUUUGCCAAAUAAUAAUUACCCUGUCCUUAACAUUGUUUUUUCCCUCUUUUAUUCUUUAGCUUGAUGGUUCUGAAGUACAGAUUGAGGAUGCUCCAGUGGCCCUACCUACUGUUGUUACAACCAAGCAAAUAUGUCAGUUGUUCUGGACAAAUCAAGGUUGGCCUGCCAACCUUAAAGAGAGAGUUGAUGUAAAGCGUAAUUCUCACUACAGUAGCACACACUAACAAUGUUACUCUGCUUAAUAAUUUGUUACAUAGGCUGUUUUUUAUUUUUUGCAAACCUGAUAUUUUUGUCAUGCAGCUGUUAAAGUAAUUGAAAUAUCUCAAAUCUUUUUGUUUUGCUGUGCAUUGUUGUUUUUUAGGCAUUCCUUGUUCAUUCAACAGUACAUUACUCAUUGAAGAUCUUAAAACUUGUGGUCUUUUUAAGGUUACUUUACUGAUGUUAUUUUGAUUUGUUUGUUAAAUCAGUGUAAACUCAGAAGACACAAGUUACUGUUUAAAAAACACAUGUUCUUAUUGGCUUCUAGGCAUUUCUUGUUCAUUCCAGAAUGUAUUUAACAUCGUAAAACAGUUUCUUGAAUUUUGCCCCUCUUUAAAGGGUUUCUGUACUGACGUAGAGUCAGUUUGCUAGUUUGCACCCUUUAAAAGCAUAACUGUACUUAUGUAGAAUCUAAACAGACUUUACUUUUUUAGAUUGUAUCACAUUUGUUAUUUUAGUGAAGAUAUGUGUAUAUAAACCGUAUUAUGUUUUAAUGUAACGUAAAUGUAAAGCUGACUAUUCCUUGUUCAAAAUAUGGUAAAUGGUAAAUGGACUGCAUUUAUAUAGCGCUUUUAACAGACCUAUGGCCAUCCAAAGCGCUUUACAAGUUGCCUCACAUUCACCCAUUCACUCCCACAUUCAUACACCGACGGCGGUGUCAGCCAUGCAAGGCGCCAUCCAGCGCGUCGGGAGCAGCUGGGGUUAGGUGACUUGCUCAAGGACACCUCGACACUUGGUCCGGUGGAGCCGGGGAUUGAACCACCAACCUUCC
Molecule: long non-coding RNA, 1499 nt
Organism: Misgurnus anguillicaudatus (oriental weatherfish)
Lineage: Eukaryota; Metazoa; Chordata; Actinopteri; Cypriniformes; Cobitidae
Source: RefSeq, a predicted model, not a curated record